CAAAAACCAUAAGGUACGCAUCAUCUCCAUUAUCUUCCCUGUCUUUUCUUCGAUUUCUUCAAAACCUGGAAAGGGAGAGCUCCGAUCAAACCUCUGCUCCUCGAUCUUCCUUCUCUAUUUCAACCGUUGCUAGCAUAGGUGUGCGUGGGACUUUCGGUCACUGGUGCUGGAGCUUCAGAGCACGAUUUCUCCUUUCCCCUGCUUCAUGCUACAAAUCACCCUCUUGCUCGUGGCUCAGCCAUUUGUCCGCCACUGUGGUGGUUCUUUGAGUGCUUUGGGAAGCUAAGUUGCUGGAACUGGAGGUCUAUCUGGCAAGGAACUGACGCUCCACUAGAUAUUGGAUGAAGAACUCAUUGCUUGCUAUUAGAUGUGUGGCACACUAAGAGCGAUAUGUAAACUCUAUUGAAGGUAAAAGGAGUCAUGCUUGGCAAAAUAAAGGAUGAUGUAGGAUUAAGGUUUUUGCAUUGGGCUUGUAUAUUUUGAGCUGUUCAAAAAGAUUAUCUAAAAAGAUAUAUGUAGAGUUGUAUGUAAAGUUAAGAGUUUGAAGCCUUGAAGAGUUGAAGAGACA
This is a long non-coding RNA of Prosopis cineraria, 568 nucleotides long. RefSeq lists it as uncharacterized. NCBI's taxonomy places the organism in Eukaryota, Viridiplantae, Streptophyta, Magnoliopsida, Fabales, Fabaceae. The transcript has 2 exons. The record is from RefSeq and is a predicted model, not a curated record.